AGUGAACGCUGGCGGUAGGCCUAACACAUGCAAGUCGAACGGCAGCACAGUAAGAGCUUGCUCUUACGGGUGGCGAGUGGCGGACGGGUGAGGAAUACAUCGGAAUCUACUUUUUCGUGGGGGAUAACGUAGGGAAACUUACGCUAAUACCGCAUACGACCUACGGGUGAAAGCAGGGGAUCUUCGGACCUUGCGCGAUUGAAUGAGCCGAUGUCGGAUUAGCUAGUUGGCGGGGGAAAGGCCCACCAAGGCGACGAUCCGUAGCUGGUCUGAGAGGAUGAUCAGCCACACUGGAACUGAGACACGGUCCAGACUCCUACGGGAGGCAGCAGUGGGGAAUAUUGGACAAUGGGCGCAAGCCUGAUCCAGCCAUACCGCGUGGGUGAAGAAGGCGUUCGGGUUGUAAAGCCCUUUUGUUGGGAAAGAAAAGCAGCAGGUUAAUACCCCGCUGUUCUGACGGUAACCAAAGAAUAAGCACCGGCUAACUUCGUG
RNAcentral lists this ribosomal RNA (492 nucleotides) under uncultured bacterium. RNAcentral's name for it is "partial 16S ribosomal RNA". It matches the Rfam family "Bacterial small subunit ribosomal RNA", at positions 29 to 507 of the family's 1533-position model. The record is from RNAcentral.